UCAAAUAGGGUUGAUAAUUAUUUACUCUGACAGGAUCAACAUAACUCAUUCCCAAUCAAUUUCAAAUAUGAGUGUAAAUAUAUUCUGUAGUUAAAUAAGUUAUAUUAAUCAAUUAUAUAAUUAUUCAUCAAGACAUAUACGUCAUAGCCAAUUAACAAACAAUAAAACAUUGAAUAAAAACGUGGAGAAGGGAGAUUGGAAUUUCCAAAAUUCUUAUGAGGCUUUAAUUAAGUCCACUGGGUGCUCGGAAUUAUCAAAUCAUUUCUACAUUUCCAUUCUAAGGGGAAAAAAUAAUUCACCUUCAAUGUUCAAAAGCACUAGGAUAAACCUUACUCUUCAUUAAUAAUACCAUUUAUAACUAGCCCUUGAUUGGGAAGAAAAUCAGACCAAUGUUCUAAAUCUCGUUUUAUUUCAAAUAUAUAAUUUGUGAUUUUUUCAAGAUAAAGAAAGAGAUGUAAAAUGAAUGGAAAUGGAAACAAAUUCAAAGCAAGAAUGAUAAUACGAUUAUUAUAUUUUAGAUUUUUUUAAUGAAAAAAAUAACUUGCCUUCAUAA
RNAcentral lists this long non-coding RNA (553 nucleotides) under Lepeophtheirus salmonis (salmon louse). Its description in RNAcentral is "uncharacterized LOC121122268". The record is from RNAcentral. Lineage: Eukaryota; Metazoa; Arthropoda; Copepoda; Siphonostomatoida; Caligidae.